This 254-nucleotide ribosomal RNA is filed under the name uncultured bacterium. RNAcentral describes it as "partial 16S ribosomal RNA". It matches the Rfam family "Archaeal small subunit ribosomal RNA", at positions 474 to 727 of the family's 1478-position model. The record is from RNAcentral.
UCCCGGCGCCACAAGUGGCAAUCGCCUUUAUUGGGCCUAAAGCGUCCGUAGCAGGUUUUGUAAAUCUCUUGUGAAAGCGUUGCACUCAAUGUAACGAACUGCAAGAGACACUGCAAAACUAGGAACCGGGAGGAGGUAGGGGUAUUCUUGGGGGAGCGGUAAAAUGUUAUAAUCCCAAGAGGACCACCUGUGGCGAAGGCGCCUACCUAGAACGGAUUCGACUGUGAGGGACGAAAGCUAGGGGAGCAAUCCGG